RNAcentral lists this ribosomal RNA (467 nucleotides) under uncultured bacterium. RNAcentral's name for it is "partial 16S ribosomal RNA". It matches the Rfam family "Bacterial small subunit ribosomal RNA", at positions 28 to 507 of the family's 1533-position model. The record is from RNAcentral.
GAUGAACGCUGCCAGAAUGCUUAACACAUGCAAGUCAACUUGAAUUUGGGUUUUUACCUUCGGUUUGGGUGGCGGACGGGUGAGUAACGCGUAAAGAACUUGCCUCACAGCUAGGGACAACAUUUGGAAACGAAUGCUAAUACCUAAUAUUAUGAUAAUAGGGAAUCUUAUAAUUAUGAAAGAUAUAAGCGCUGUGAGAGAGCUGUGCGUCACAUUAGCUAGUUGGAGAGGUAACGGCUCACCAAGGCGAUGAUGGGUAGCCGGCCUGAGAGGGUGAUCGGCCACAAGGGGACUGAGACACGGCCCGUACUCCUACUUCAAUACACAUUUAUUAAUCUUACACAAUACACCAAGAAUCUCAUCCAGCAAUUCUGUGUGCAAGAUGAAGUUUUUCGGAAUGUAAAUUGCUUUCAAUUUAUAAGACACAAAUAACUUUCCCCCCAAAACAAGUGACGGCUAAAUACCUG